UGUCCUCUUCUUGAAUCAAAGAUGUAAUGCCAAAAUUCUGACUCUAUGCGGGAGAUCAUUUUGUUUUCAUGAGAAGAAAGCAAAACAUUUUCCUCUUCUUUCUGUAGGAGAAGCCAUAUUUAUAUAAGUCAUGAUUUUAAAAGACUUAUGGUUUCCAAACCCAAGCAGGCACUAUCUCUCUAUUUUUUACCUGAACAAUCUUCUGACAUGCCAAGAAAUUGACUGCACUGGGCUGCAGCUCUUGUCUUCAGGCCAGCAGAAAAACAUUAACACUUUCCUGCUUGUCAUACAAGGAUCACACUAACUCAUAGAACUGACUUCUAGUGCUGAUGGCAACUUGAGCCACAACAUUCAAGGAGUUCAAGGAAGAAUUUAUAGGUAAGAUGAAAAGAGCUGUUUCCUCUUUUCAAUAUGCUGGCCAAAGGGCAAAGGCAGUGCCCUCUACUCAUCUCAGGCUCAGUUGAACAAGUCACAAAGAAGAGUUUCAGACACACUCUACUUUUGCCCCUCAUUUAGGCAUACGACUUUUAUAUGACUUUUUCCCCA
This 546-nucleotide long non-coding RNA is filed under the name Homo sapiens (human). RNAcentral describes it as "HSALNT0190145". The record is from RNAcentral. Lineage: Eukaryota; Metazoa; Chordata; Mammalia; Primates; Hominidae.